This 191-nucleotide small nuclear RNA is filed under the name Physeter macrocephalus (sperm whale). RNAcentral's name for it is "Physeter catodon (sperm whale) U2 spliceosomal RNA (ENSPCTG00005011817.1)". It matches the Rfam family "U2 spliceosomal RNA". Rfam says of the family: U2 is a small nuclear RNA (snRNA) component of the spliceosome (involved in pre-mRNA splicing). The record is from Rfam by way of RNAcentral. Lineage: Eukaryota; Metazoa; Chordata; Mammalia; Artiodactyla; Physeteridae.
AUCGCUUCUCGGCCUUUUGGCUAAGAUCAAGUGUAGUAUCUGUUCUUAUCAGUUUAAUAUCUGAUACGUCCUCUAUCCGAGGACAAUAUAUUAAAUGGAUUUUUGGAGCUGGGAGUCGGAAUAGGAGCUUGCUCCGUCCGCUCCGCGCAUCGACCUGGUAUUGCAGUAUCUCCAGGAACGGUGCACUUUCC